UCGAAAAUACAGCCCUGUUGGCUCUGUUUCUGCUCGAAAAACAGAGGAAACAAAAUAGAAAGGAAGGCUCCAUUUCUUUUCAAAAUAGAGAGGAGAAAGGAGAAAGGAGAAAGGAGAAAGGAGAGAGGAGAGAGGAGAAAGAGAAAGGAGAAGAAGCAUACAUGUGAAGCUUGAAGAAGACCAAGGAUGAAGAAGACUGAGCAGUGAGAACUGCCUUGUUCGAAG
This 225-nucleotide long non-coding RNA is filed under the name Nicotiana benthamiana. RNAcentral's name for it is "long non-coding RNA (NBEN_LNC036720)". The record is from RNAcentral. Lineage: Eukaryota; Viridiplantae; Streptophyta; Magnoliopsida; Solanales; Solanaceae.